UACGUAGGUGGCAAGCGUUAUCCAGAUUUAUUGGGCGUAAAGGGAACGCAGGCGGUCUUUUAAGUCUGAUGUGAAAGCCUUCGGCUUAACCGGAGUAGUGCAUUGGAAACUGGGAGACUUGAGUGCAGAAGAGGAGAGUGGAACUCCAUGUGUAGCGGUGAAAUGCGUAGAUAUAUGGAAGAACACCAGUGGCGAAAGCGGCUCUCUGGUCUGUAACUGACGCUGAGGUUCGAAAGCGUGGGUGGCAAACAGG
Molecule: ribosomal RNA, 253 nt
Filed under: uncultured bacterium
Lineage: Bacteria
Description: partial 16S ribosomal RNA
Rfam family: Bacterial small subunit ribosomal RNA
Source: RNAcentral